GGUAGCCGGCCUGAGAGGGUGACCGGCCACACUGGGACUGAGACACGGCCCAGACUCCUACGGGAGGCAGCAGUGGGGAAUAUUGCACAAUGGGCGCAAGCCUGAUGCAGCGACGCCGCGUGAGGGAUGACGGCCUUCGGGUUGUAAACCUCUUUCAGCAGGGAAGAAGCCUUGCCUUUUUGGGUGGGUGACGGUACUUGCAGAAGAAGCACCGGCUAACUACGUGCCAGCAGCCGCGGUAAUACGUAGGGUGCAAGCGUUGUCCGGAUUUAUUGGGCGUAAAGAGCUCGUAGGCGGCUUGUCGCGUCGAUUGUGAAAGCUCAGGGCUUAACCCUGGGUCUGCAGUCGAUACGGGCAGGCUAGAGUUCGGUAGGGGAGACUGGAAUUCCUGGUGUAGCGGUGAAAUGCGCAGAUAUCAGGAGGAACACCGGUGGCGAAGGCGGGUCUCUGGGCCGAUACUGACGCUGAGGAGCGAAAGCGUGGGGAGCGAACAGGAUUAGAUACCCUGGUAGUCCACGCUGUAAACGGUGGGAACUAGGUGUGGGCAGCAUUCCACGUUGUCUGUGCCGUAGCUAACGCAUUAAGUUCCCCGCCUG
This 596-nucleotide ribosomal RNA is filed under the name Streptomyces sp. MDG-04-17-069. RNAcentral describes it as "bacterial SSU rRNA". It matches the Rfam family "Bacterial small subunit ribosomal RNA", at positions 282 to 875 of the family's 1533-position model. The record is from RNAcentral. Lineage: Bacteria; Bacillati; Actinomycetota; Actinomycetes; Kitasatosporales; Streptomycetaceae.